RNAcentral lists this ribosomal RNA (802 nucleotides) under Harringtonia lauricola. RNAcentral describes it as "Raffaelea lauricola partial large subunit ribosomal RNA". It matches the Rfam family "Eukaryotic large subunit ribosomal RNA", at positions 83 to 908 of the family's 3401-position model. Lineage: Eukaryota; Fungi; Ascomycota; Sordariomycetes; Ophiostomatales; Ophiostomataceae. The record is from RNAcentral.
GUAACGGCGAGUGAAGCGGCAACAGCUCAAAUUUGAAAUCUGGCCCCCCGCGGGCCCGAGUUGUACUUUGGAGAGGACGCUUCUGGCGCGGCGCCGUCCGAGUUCCCUGGAACGGGACGCCGGAGAGGGUGAGAGCCCCGUACGGGCGGCCGCCUAGCCUCUGCGAAGCUCCUUCGACGAGUCGAGUAGUUUGGGAAUGCUGCUCAAAAUGGGAGGUAAAUUUCUUCUAAAGCUAAAUACCGGCCAGAGACCGAUAGCGCACAAGUAGAGUGAUCGAAAGAUGAAAAGCACUUUGAAAAGAGGGUCAAACAGUACGUGAAAUUGUUGAAAGGGAAGCGCCUGUGGCCAGACUUGCGCCCCGCGGACCACCCGGCGCCUCGCGCGCCGGGGCACGCCAGCGGGGCGCAGGCCAGCAUCGGCUCUCUCGGGGGGACAAAGGCCGCGGGAACGUAGCGCCCUCGCGGCGUAUUAUAGCCCGCGGCGCCAUGCCCCCGGGGGGGCCGAGGACCGCGCUCCGGCAAGGAUGCUGGCGUAAUGGCCACCGGCGACCCGUCUUGAAACACGGACCAAGGAGUCAAGCAUUGGGGCGAGUGUCUGGGUGGCAAGCCCGCACGCGGAAUGAAAGUGAACGCAGGUGGGAGCUUCGGCGCACCACCGACCGAUCCUGAUGUCCUCGGAUGGAUUUGAGUAGGAGCCCCGCCGCUUGGACCCGAAAGAUGGUGAACUAUGCCUGUAUAGGGUGAAGCCAGAGGAAACUCUGGUGGAGGCCCGCAGCGGUUCUGACGUGCAAAUCGAUCGUCAA